Molecule: long non-coding RNA, 1777 nt
Organism: Ipomoea triloba (trilobed morning glory)
Lineage: Eukaryota; Viridiplantae; Streptophyta; Magnoliopsida; Solanales; Convolvulaceae
Exons: 5
Source: RefSeq, a predicted model, not a curated record
AGAGUCCACGCUUCAGCCCUGAGUAGUAGUCGACCAAGGGUUAACGAAAGAGACUCCAAAGCUGCACUGCCGUCCACCGUCCACGACUGCUGACCAAGACCGCCGUUCACGACUCCGAAGCUGCACUGCCGACCGUCGACCGCCGACCUGUCACCGCCAACAGCCCACUCGUAACUCCGGAAAUUUCAAAUUGUCCGGAGUCGUAAGUCGUAAGAGUAGGUCCUGUGCAUUCUUGUUCGUAGCAAAAGAGCAACUUAUUGUGUUUCCCAAGCAUCUAGAAAUGAGUAAUAUAGAUAGAAGUUUGAUGUAUCAAAGACGAACUGAACGUGGUGAUCUUAAUAAAUUUUAUCGAAGGAGUGGAAACAUUUAUUGAGUUCGCAAGCAGUAAGCCGGAUUUCAUGGAUGGAACUAAAAUUCGAUGUCCAUGUAAAAAAUGCCGUCAUAUCUCAUUUGAAGAAGAUGAGAUUGUGAGAUUUCACUUGUGCAAAUUUGGUUUUGUGCCAAAUUACUUUGAGUGGAAUAGACAUUGAGAAAUGUCACGCAAUAGAACGUCAAUGGGGUUUGAUGCAAAUUGGAGUUUAAAUGAGCAAAAUGAACCGUUGGAAUCAUAUCAGCAAAUGAUUUUUGAUGCUGCUGGUCAAAAUCUCAUAGCAAGGAAUGUGGGUGAGGAGCCAAAUGUAGAAGAUAAAAAAAUUCUUCGACAUGUUAGAUGCUGCUAAUAGACAAUUAUGGUCUGGUUGUGAAAAGUUGACACAAUUAUCUGCUGUGGCUCGAUUGCUAAACAUAAAGACAGAAUAUCAUCUACCAAAGCAAUGCUUUGAUGCAUUCUGUCAAUUAUUUAAGGAUGGUUUACCUAAAGACAAUAACAUGGUUGAUAGUUUUUACCAGACGAAGAAACUAAUACAAGGGCUUGGGCUACCAGUGGAGAAAAUUGAUUGUUGUAGGUUGGGGACUUGGGGUGCAUGCUGUAUUGGGGUGAUGGUAAAGAUAUGCUAAUUACAUAAGUAGAUUAAGGAAAAAUCCAAGACCUGUCUAUAUCCCACCAGAAAUAUGGACAAAGUGGAAUGAAAUUUGGAAUUCUGAAGAGGGCAAGAAGAAAACAGGAUUGGCUAAGAAAAACAGACGUGGAGGAGUUUUAAAUGGAGUUGCUCAAUCUACCCAUACCACAUGGUCAACACCUCACGUAAAAGUUGCAGCUCAACUUGAAGGACAAUUGAGUCAUUAUCCAUCAUAUUAUGAACUUUUCAAGCAUACACAUACCAAAUAACACGAUGGGGAAACAUUCAUAAUUGAAAAAGCCAAACAAAUUCAUGAACAAGUUGCAACGCAACGGGAGAUGUUGACAGGAACUGGGGAGCAAGUGGAUGAUAAUCAAUUAUAUUAUGAUGUGGUUGGUGGACAUGAAAAGAAAAGAAGGAUUUAUGGACUUGGUUCAUAUGGUUGUUCUGUUGUUAACGGUUCAACUAGUGCACUUCUGGCAAUAUGACUCCAACAUCUCGACCACCCGACAAUGCUACUUCUGCAAGUGUACAAGAUGAAAUUCAGAGUUUGAAGGCUACUAUUCUCCUUAUGCAACAACGACUUGAUGCUAUUGAUGGCGGAAGAGCGGGUACUUCAUCAUCACCUCCAUCUCAAACCGAUUAAUUUCAAUAUGGAUUGUUGUUUUUGAAGACUAUUACAUUAUUGCUUAGACUUGAAUUGACUAUUAUUAUGUAUUAAAUGUGAUUGGAUAAUGUAUUAUUACUUGAACUUAAUGUGAAUUGAUAAUAUUUUAGAC